AAGGAGAAUGAUUAGCGGAGAUAGCCAUAUAAAAUUACCUUUGAAAGAAUAGAGAGGGAGAAUUUUACUAUAACAUAACUAUUUGGUGUUAUAAAUAACAAAAAGGAAAAGCAUACAUUAUUGUAAUACUUGAUUGUGUCCAGUUCUCUAUCGAAAUAGUGCAUAAGGCAGAUAAAAAUACAGUGUGACGCAGAAAAGGAAAAGGAAGGAAAAAUGCAUAUAACUUUUAUAUGCAUUUUGUUUGAACAAUUUCUGUAACAAAAGAAAUAAAUAAAUUCUUGGUUGGAUCCAAUAAUGAAUGUGAGAUAAUUGGAUCGAUCUGGUCAGAAAGAAGUGUUUUGGGAGUGAGUCAGGGGCUUAUUUAUAUGUUUGAAGCAAAAAUUACCCAAGAAUCCAGGACCAGAGUAAUACCCAUACUCUGAACAACUGAGACAGGCAGCAACUUAACAGCCAUAUAUAAUAAGGAUGAACCCAUGUG
RNAcentral lists this long non-coding RNA (478 nucleotides) under Ricinus communis (castor bean). RNAcentral's name for it is "long non-coding RNA (RCOM_LNC003327)". The record is from RNAcentral. Lineage: Eukaryota; Viridiplantae; Streptophyta; Magnoliopsida; Malpighiales; Euphorbiaceae.